This 253-nucleotide ribosomal RNA is filed under the name uncultured bacterium. Its description in RNAcentral is "partial 16S ribosomal RNA". It matches the Rfam family "Bacterial small subunit ribosomal RNA", at positions 524 to 776 of the family's 1533-position model. The record is from RNAcentral.
CACGUAGGGCGCAAGCGUUGUCCGGAAUUAUUGGGCGUAAAGAGCUCGUAGGCGGUCUGUUGCGUCUGCUGUGAAAACCCGGGGCUUAACCCCUGGCUUGCAGUGGAUACGGACAGACUAGAGGUAGGUAGGGGAGAAUGGAAUUCCCGGUGUAGCGGUGAAAUGCGCAGAUAUCGGGAGGAACACCGGUGGCGAAGGCGGCUACCUGGACCGGUUCUGACGCUGAUGCGCGAAAGCGUGGGUAGCAAACAGG